RNAcentral lists this ribosomal RNA (550 nucleotides) under uncultured bacterium. RNAcentral's name for it is "bacterial SSU rRNA". It matches the Rfam family "Bacterial small subunit ribosomal RNA", at positions 1 to 543 of the family's 1533-position model. The record is from RNAcentral.
AUUGAGUUUGAUCCUGGCUCAAGACGAACGCUGGCGGCGUGCCUAACACAUGCAAGUCGAACGGAGAUACGCGCUGAAUGGAUGGAGCUUGCUUUUGAAAUUCUUGUGUAUCUUAGUGGCGGACGGGUGAGUAACGCGUGAGCAACCUGCCUUUCAGAGGGGGAUAACGUUUGGAAACGAACGCUAAUACCGCAUGAGACCACGGUACUGCAUAAUACAGUGGCCAAAAGACCAGUCCGCUGAAAUAUGGUGUCUCGUCCUAUUAUAUACUUGGCGAUCGUAACGGCCCACCAAGUCGACGAUCAGUAUCCGGACUGAGAGGUUGAACGGCCACAUUGGGACUGAGACACGGCCCAGACUCCUACGGGAGGCAUCAGUGAGCGGAUAUUGGUCAAUGGGCGGAAACCCUGAACCAGCAACGCCGCGUGAGGGAAGACGGUUUUCGGAUUGUAAACCUCUGUCCUCUGUGAAGAUAAUGACGGUAGCAGAGGAGGAAGCUCCGGCUAACUACGUGCCAGCAGCCGCGGUAAUACGUAAGGAGCGAGCGUUG